RNAcentral lists this ribosomal RNA (400 nucleotides) under Lactiplantibacillus plantarum. RNAcentral's name for it is "bacterial SSU rRNA". It matches the Rfam family "Bacterial small subunit ribosomal RNA", at positions 1 to 371 of the family's 1533-position model. Lineage: Bacteria; Bacillati; Bacillota; Bacilli; Lactobacillales; Lactobacillaceae. The record is from RNAcentral.
AUUAAUUUGAGAGUUUGAUCCUGGCUCAGGACGAACGCUGGCGGCGUGCCUAAUACAUGCAAGUCGAACGAACUCUGGUAUUGAUUGGUGCUUGCAUCAUGAUUUACAUUUGAGUGAGUGGCGAACUGGUGAGUAACACGUGGGAAACCUGCCCAGAAGCGGGGGAUAACACCUGGAAACAGAUGCUAAUACCGCAUAAUAACUUGGACCGCAUGGUCCGAGUUUGAAAGAUGGCUUCGGCUAUCACUUUUGGAUGGUCCCGCGGCGUAUUAGCUAGAUGGUGGGGUAACGGCUCACCAUGGCAAUGAUACGUAGCCGACCUGAGAGGGUAAUCGGCCACAUUGGGACUGAGACACGGCCCAAACUCCUACGGGAGGCAGCAGUAGGGAAUCUUCCACAA